Non-coding RNA from Acanthosepion pharaonis, 111 nucleotides. Lineage: Eukaryota; Metazoa; Mollusca; Cephalopoda; Sepiida; Sepiidae. The record is from the annotation of a GenBank genome assembly.
CUGCCAUAUCACGUUGAAACGUUUGUGCUCGUUCGAUCAUCGAAGUUAAGCAACGUCGAUCUUGGUCAGUACCUGGAUGGAUGAACGUUUGGGAAUACAAGGUGCUGUAAG